CGACGGGCCCGCACAAGCAGCGGAGCGUGUGGUUUAAUUCGAUGUUACACGAAGAACCUUACAGGGUUUGACAUGCAAGUGGUAGGAAGCCGAAAGGUGACCGACCCUUCGGGGAGCUUGCACAGGUGCUGCAUGGCUGUCGUCAGCUCGUGUCGUGAGAUGUUCGGUUAAGUCCGCUAACGAGCGCAACCCUCGCUGUGUGUUAUAUGUGUCACACGGGACUGCCGGUCUUAAGCCGGAGGAAGGUGGGGAUGAUGUCAAGUCAGCAUGGCCUUUAUAUCCUGGGCUACACACACGCUACAAUGGCCAACACAAUAGGUUGCUAAGCCGCGAGGUGGCGCCAAUCCAUAAAGUUGGUCUCAGUUCAGAUUGUAGGCUGCAACCCGCCUGCAUGAAGAUGGAGUUGCUAGUAACCGCAGGUCAGCUAUACUGCGGUGAAUACGUUCCCGGGGCUU
RNAcentral lists this ribosomal RNA (455 nucleotides) under uncultured Leptolinea sp. Its description in RNAcentral is "bacterial SSU rRNA". It matches the Rfam family "Bacterial small subunit ribosomal RNA", at positions 917 to 1381 of the family's 1533-position model. The record is from RNAcentral. Lineage: Bacteria; Bacillati; Chloroflexota; Anaerolineae; Anaerolineales; Anaerolineaceae.